GACGAACGCUGGCGGCGCGCCUAACACAUGCAAGUCGAACGAGCGAUAGAGAGCUUGCUUUCUCGAGCGAGUGGCGAACGGGUGAGUAACGCGUGAGGAACCUGCCUCAAAGAGGGGGACAACAGUUGGAAACGACUGCUAAUACCGCAUAAGCCCACGGCUCGGCAUCGAGCAGGGGGAAAAGGAGCAAUCCGCUUUGAGAUGGCCUCGCGUCCGAUUAGCUAGUUGGUGAGGUAACGGCCCACCAAGGCAACGAUCGGUAGCCGGACUGAGAGGUUGAACGGCCACAUUGGGACUGAGACACGGCCCAGACUCCUACGGGAGGCAGCAGUGGGGAAUAUUGCACAAUGGGGGAAACCCUGAUGCAGCGACGCCGCGUGGAGGAAGAAGGUCUUCGGAUUGUAAACCCCUGUUGUUGGGGAAGAUAAUGACGGUACCCAACAAGGAAGUGACGGCUAACUACGUG
This 466-nucleotide ribosomal RNA is filed under the name uncultured bacterium. RNAcentral's name for it is "partial 16S ribosomal RNA". It matches the Rfam family "Bacterial small subunit ribosomal RNA", at positions 28 to 507 of the family's 1533-position model. The record is from RNAcentral.